GAUGAACGCUAGCGGCAGGCUUAAUACAUGCAAGUCGUGGGGCAGCAUGAGUAGCAAUACUUGAUGGCGACCGGCAAACGGGUGCGGAACACGUACACAACCUUCCGAUAAGUGGGGAAUAGCCCAGAGAAAUUUGGAUUAAUACCCCGUAACAUAUAGAGUAGGCAUCUUCUUUAUAUUAUAGCUUCGACGCUUAUUGAUGGGUUUGCGUCUGAUUAGGUAGUUGGCGGGGUAACGGCCCACCAAGCCUACGAUCAGUAGCUGAUGUGAGAGCAUGAUCAGCCACACGGGCACUGAGACACGGGCCCGACUCCUACGGGAGGCAGCAGUAAGGAAUAUUGGAGAAUGGGCGAAAGCCUGAUCCAGCCAUGCCGCGUGAAGGAUUAAGGUCCUCUGGAUUGUAAACUUCUUUUAUUUGGGACGAAAAAAGGGAAUUCUUUCCCACUUGACGGUACCAAGUGAAUAAGCACCGGCUAACUCCGUGCCAGCCGCCGCAGUAA
RNAcentral lists this ribosomal RNA (500 nucleotides) under uncultured bacterium. RNAcentral describes it as "partial 16S ribosomal RNA". It matches the Rfam family "Bacterial small subunit ribosomal RNA", at positions 28 to 523 of the family's 1533-position model. The record is from RNAcentral.